This 3804-nucleotide long non-coding RNA is filed under the name Salvia miltiorrhiza (redroot sage). Its description in RNAcentral is "long non-coding RNA (SMIL_LNC011929)". Lineage: Eukaryota; Viridiplantae; Streptophyta; Magnoliopsida; Lamiales; Lamiaceae. The record is from RNAcentral.
UCAAUUAAAAUUUAAAAAGCCUCACGAUACAAAAUCUUGAGCACAUGUACAAAAAUGGCAGCAUACGCACUAGCAUUUGUGCUGAUCACGGUGGCAACGACGAGCGGCCGCGUGAUCUUGGCGGAGGCGCGUGGUUUGCUAGAAACCAAUUUGCUUGAGCUUCCUCCACCGGAGGAAGCAGAAGACGAGCUCGAAGCCGCAUCGCCUACGGUGGAAUUGCCUCCAAUUCCUCCAGCUGAUCAUAACAACACCCCUGCAUAAUUUCCUACGGAGCAAGUAGUUUAUGUCUUUUUUCACGGGUAAUUGCGCGUCUAUAUAUACAAACUUUCACCAAAUUCUUAUUUCGCAUAUAUGAAUUAAAAGUUUCGUCUUCAAAUACACAAACUUUCAAUUGUUCUGUCACGCAGUUGUUAAUUCUCGGUGGAUCAAUGCCAUCAUGUCUAGAUGACAUAUAUAUCGUAGCCAACUACGUUGUUUAAUUAAUACAUCGACCAUUUAAGUCUUGUAGACAUUUUAGGCGUCCACCUCGGCGUUAAUUUGGGGGGGGUUGUCAAAAGUGUGAAAAAUUAGAACAAUUAAAUUUUCUUGUAUCAACUUGGAGGCAAUAUUUUUGGUUUAUUUGCAAAACAAGAAUUUAGUGAAAGUUAGUAUAUUUAAGUGUAACGAUUUUCUUUUUAACUCGUGACCUCAACUUUAAUUUAUUUUUAAAAUACAUGAUGAUAUAUGACUAGGCUCAUUCGAUAAAAAAAUGUUUACGAAUGAGCCUAGUAAUUGAUCGCCGAUCGAUCGGGCUCCGCAUGCCAUCGCGCCCCGCCUCAUCUAGUUAGAGUUAUAUUAGGUAAAUGACAGUACUCUUACUAACAACAAAUGACACUUUAAUCAAUAUAAAAUGAAAUUAUACACAUAAAACAUGAAAUUAAACAAAUGAUAUUUAUUUUUAAUAAAAAUGAUAUAUACUUUGAUACCAUUUUUGAAAAGAUAUAGAUGUGGUCUUGGAUAUAACCGAGUGUACCGUACAACCGGGUUGCACCCUCACUCAGACCUUGAUCCGCACCCUAAUCUGAACCCGUAUCCUGACCCGAACCUUAUAAAUAACACUAUUUUGGGUGCGGAUCAACCCGGUUGUACGGUACACCCGAUUGUACUCAAGUUUAUGUGAAAUAUAUAUUUGAGCUUUUUUUACCAAUAGUCCCAACUACCUCAACCUCAUCUAGGAUGCUGGCUAUUCCUUAGCCAUACAUUUACUGAUUUUUGUAGACAAAUGAAUUAAUUAACGUUGUACACUUGUACCACGCCACUUCAUCAACCGUUACCUUAUUUUAACACAUUUAUGACAUAACUUUCAUCAAAUUAUGCACUUAUAUUUGCUGCUACACUCACACUCGCUCACAGUGCUUUAAUUAAUUUCUUUUUUCUUUGAAAAGUCAGAAAAUUAUUGAUGAAAACGAGUACAAGGGGUAUUCGAAAUCCUUACACGACGGACUUAUCAUUUGAGGAUAGACGGAAUACAUGCAAACAACGAAGAAUACCAAUCAUGAAUUGAGUAAAAAAAAGACCAAAUCCGCUUCUAUGAUCGGAUUUUGAUUUCUUCGACAAAACAUGCACAUUGCCAAAUAAUGUUAAAAUCUUGGAUUAUUGGCUGUCUUUCCUCUUUGAAUACUAAAAUGAGGAAAAUGGCUCUAAUUAUGUAUGUUAAAACACUUUCUUCAAAUUUCAUAAGAGAAUUAAUUUACAAGAACACAUCAGAUUAUCAAUAUCUUCAAGUUAUAGGAACACACAAUACAUAUUUUAUCUUGAUCAUCAAUAACGUAGUGCCUUAAAGAAAAGAAGAUACCUUACUUGGGAUACCUUUGCACCACAAUUUAGUCUCAGUCGCGGUAGAUACCUAGCUCAUUGAAAAGUGCAUUGUAUAUUGAUUUCGUUGAGAAACUCGAAAAUACCAAUUUAGGGGUGCGUAGGGUUGACUGUGACUUGAGAAUGGGGGUCGAAUCAGGGUUUAGGGUUUAGGAUUCAUAAUUUGAGUUGAUCAUGAGUCAACUACUUAAUUACUAAGAGUGAAAGUCGAGUGUGUGUGUGUUAGCCAAGUAGUAAGGGGUUAAUGCCUAAGGCCAAAGUCUUGGGUUCGAAUCCCAUGUGGCGCGGUCUUUAAAUUUCUUUAUUUAAUACUGUUAAUUGUGAAAGGUCGAAGGUGUCUAUGUUAUGUUAACUAGACUAAUUCAUCUAGUUUUGAAAUAGUGUGUUUCUAUUGCUACAAUAUUCAUGAACAUGUAUUUUUUUUUUUUGCAGUGAACCAUGUGAAGAUGGCACUUCAUAACAAGGUGGGAGAUUAUUUACUUGAAGAUUCACCAAUGCUUUAUAUUAAAAGUGCUUUUUAAAAUUAGUAAAAAAAAAAAGUGCUUUUUUUUAAAAAUAAAUACAAAAUAUAGACCCAGUCAUUGAUAAAUUUCACAUAUUCAAAAUAUAUAUUUUGAUAUGUACAAAAUUUGAUUCGCCAAAGUGUUUAUUUUUCAAUCAAUUACAUUAUCAAAUUCUGGAUCCGCCCCUAAGAUCGAUCACCAAUAUUGCUUCAUUUUUGAAGUGAAGAUGUGCAAUACUUUUGAAACAUAGACAUAUUUGAUACCAUCUCAAUGUUGGAACAUUACCUAAUAUUUUCCUAAAAUAAAUUCCCCAACAACUUGGCCAAACUUCAUCAACAUAUCACGUGGUAACCAUUAACCAAUACUAAAUUGCAUUGCACUAAAAAUAAUUUACUUGGCUUCCACCAAUCACACCCUUUUCUACAAUUUUCCUUUUAUUUGGGGAAACUAUAUAUGGUGCCACCAACAACCAUAUGGCAGGCCCUUUAAGAUCAAAGUUGAAAUAAGUUGAGGCAAUUUUAAUUGAAAUAAAUGCACCCUAUUCAACUCAACCCCAUCAUUUAGCCUAUAAAUUCCCCCCUCAUUUCUUACAUUCUGGUCAAAUCAAAUCAAAUCGAACAGAAUCGUAUUAACUGAGUGUCUACUAUACCUAGUAAACACCAACUAGGCAUUGCUUGUCUUACAACUAGUCAACAUGUCUCUUUUCUUCUUCCAAGUCCUCAUUCCCUCAUUCUCAUGGCUCUCAUUUUCCAGGCGUCGGCGGCCGGAAACCGCCGGCUCCUGACUUUCCCGGGCUUCGGGAUUCCGCCCUACAGGACACUCCCGACGCCCUCGUUUCUGCCGCCGCUCCCCCCUUCUCCGCCCAGCCUCGCAUUCCUCGGCACCUCCCCAUAUCUUCCCAUCAUUCCACCUCCCUCAGCUAUCACCACCCCAUAGAAAUAUUGUGUUACUUCAAUGUUGGGGUUGGUGUAGCUAUAGUGUGUGAGAAGUGUGCUGAUUCCAUCCAUGUGAGGAAUAAAUAUAUAUGAUGUAUUGAAAUAAGGAAGCAUUGUUGUUAGUUUUAAAGUGCAUUGUCUUAACUAGUAAUUGUGGGUGACUUUACCUAGCUAGCUACUUGCUUUUCCUAAUGUGUAAUGUCUUAUGAUAUGUUGGAUUUCUUGUUAUGGGAAUAUUAUUAAUUCGUUAUUGCGAGUCCUUUUUUUUUUUUUUAUCAAUUUAGAUCCUCUAUUGUUUUCAGUUUGUAACAUGAAUAUGGUACAAAAUUAUUGCAAUUUUUUGCUCCCCUUAUAGAAGAUACACAUACACUUCGAGUACACAAUUGGAUAUAGACUACAACAAAAAAUUAACUACAUAUAACUUUAAUGCAUCAUACCAAAUAAUGAACUAUAUAUUACAAAUAUUUUAUGUAUUCUAUCAAACAUAAUAUUAAUAUGAUAUAUAAUAAAAG